Molecule: long non-coding RNA, 1008 nt
Organism: Fopius arisanus
Lineage: Eukaryota; Metazoa; Arthropoda; Insecta; Hymenoptera; Braconidae
Exons: 3
Source: RefSeq, a predicted model, not a curated record
ACUUUCCCAGUCUAUGGUGAAUUUCUGAUGCAGUUACUAACAAUCCGCAAACGCUCUUGGAAAGAGAGGUUAUAUAUACAUAUACGUAUGUGCGGUUAUUAUGUGGUAUUAAUGGUCUGAAAUCAUCAUGUAAUAAAACUACAACGACACAGUGCUUAACCUAAAAAAAAAAAAUAAUUCAAACUAGUGAAUAGUAGCAUAAUAGAACAUAGGAAAAAUUAAUUAAUAAAGGCAUAUACGUAUUAGGAAAAAUCUUGACGGCCUUGACGGUAACUUAAUGGCAGCUUUAAUGAAAAAACGAGUUUUGGCUGAAUUCACUCAAAACCAGAUUUGCGAGCUUAUGGGAGACCUCUCCCCCAGGUUGAGGGCUUCUGCUACAUUACUGAUGGCCACGAUGAAGGCUGUUACCCAGAGAUACAUUGAACAAGCUCUCGAUAAAAAGCAGAAACGAGUGGAGGACGAUGGCUUGGAAAUGUGGGGCCUUCAUUCACGGUCUUGAGGAUGAAUUUCUCGAAGUGAGGACCGCGGCGGUUGAAGCUCUUUGCACUCUCUCCCUCGAGCAGCCAGGCAUCUCCAGAAUCACUCUAGAUUUCAUGGUGGACAUGUUCAAUGAUGAGAUUCAAGAUGUGACAAUUUGAGCGAUUGAGUCCCUCAGAAAGAUGUCCGCUAAUGCGACUCUCCAGGAGGACCAACUCGAGAGAUUAUAACUCUCAAUUAUAACUCUCAAAGGUUCCAGUGCGAUUAGAAUCAAACUCAGGCAUCCCGAUCAACAUGUCCAGCUGUUUCUCCCUGGUCUGGAUGGAGGCGUGCAAUGUGGAAAUUUCUAUAGCUCUUGCUGCACCAUCAACAUUCGCCUGUACUCAUUCACCUAAUGACGAUCCUUGUAUUCUUGAACUUUGUAAACCCACCAAGGUGGCUAUUGCUCCUAAGCCUUUUAACAGGGCCAUUUAAAUUAGAUUGCAUUACUAAUUUUAAUUUAUUAAUAAUAUAUUAAUAAUCGGAAUAAAC